GAUAAACGCUGGCGGCGUGCGUAACACAUGCAAGUUGGGCGACGGAAGUUUGAACCAGUGAUGGGAAUGACUUUACGGAGCAGCGGACUGGUGAGUAAUAUAUGAGAAGCUGUCCAUCAGAGGGGGACAACAUCUGGAAACGGAUGCUAAUACCCCAUAGGCCGAAAGGUUAAAGCAGCAAUGCGCUGGUGGAGGUGCUCGUAUCCUAUCAAUUAGUUGGCGGGGUAACGGCCCACCAAGAUAACGACGGGUAGCCGGCCUGAGAGGGUGUCCGGCCACACUGGAACUGAGAUACGGUCCAGACUCC
RNAcentral lists this ribosomal RNA (307 nucleotides) under uncultured Synergistales bacterium. Its description in RNAcentral is "bacterial SSU rRNA". It matches the Rfam family "Bacterial small subunit ribosomal RNA", at positions 28 to 339 of the family's 1533-position model. Lineage: Bacteria; Thermotogati; Synergistota; Synergistia; Synergistales. The record is from RNAcentral.